Long non-coding RNA from Astyanax mexicanus (Mexican tetra), 2913 nucleotides. RefSeq lists it as uncharacterized. NCBI's taxonomy places the organism in Eukaryota, Metazoa, Chordata, Actinopteri, Characiformes, Acestrorhamphidae. The transcript has 5 exons. The record is from RefSeq and is a predicted model, not a curated record.
GCUUCAAGCGUUCUUCAGUCAUGGCGGAGCGACGGUUUGCAGUGAACAGCAGCAGCAGGAGGUAUUUUUCUUAGUUAAAACUGAUAUAAAUGCUGUGUUUAGUCGCUGAGCGGGUCGGAGAAAUGUAUUAUAUAUUGUAUUUCCCCUCUGAGUCAAUGUUUCACCUUGUUCAGCUCACUAGAAGCUUAAAACGCUCCUGUUAGCGAGCUGUGCUAAAUAUUUAUGCUAAAUGUAGCGAGUUAGCUAUAACUUUAGCUUAGCUGCGUUAGCUUAGCUAGUUAUUGUGUUUCUCGGUAAAGUCGAGCGGGGAACUUAGCGGUUAGUUAGUUACUUUAUUUGUUAAUUAGACUGUUUAUUACUUUAGUUAACAGUUCGAAUAGUUCAGCGGUCUCUGUGUGAGAAACGCUAUAAACGACCGUGGUCUCGUAUCUGCACUCAGAAUCUGCUCGGUCGCGCUUCUCUACAUCUAAACUGUAUUUACCUGCGCGUCUAAACCAUGCUUAGUUGCUUGUAUAUGGACCAGAAUUUAGAUUUUUUAAAUUAGAACCAUAUUAGAACCACAGCACCAUAAAAUUAUAUAGAGCAUUAAUUUUUCAUAUCCAUUUUUACAUAUUUUUAUAACACCUUUUUGUAGCCAAUGCAUAACGUAAUGUUUGAAAAUGUAGUGGAAACAGUACUGAAAACAGUAAAAUAGUUUAAGUGCAAGGUCUGUAUUUCGAAAAUGUUAUUGUUCUACAGGUGGAUAGUUGUCUUAGUAAGUUGUCUUUAUUAGUUGAUUAGAUCUGGUUAAAUUGUGUCUAUUGAGCUGAAUUAUUUUAUUUAUUUAACAUUUUCGGUCUUUGCAUGAGAAGCACAAGCAGCUUCUCAGUAAGCUCCACUAUGCACCUGGCUACUGUAAAACACUGUUUAAAGUCCAAACUUUGGGUGUAGAUGGUGGAUUUAUCAAUUUUCCAAAAGGACUUCGAUGUUUAAAAAGUAUGUCCGUGUCGAGAAUUAUCCUCCACUCAAAUAACAUCUGCAAACUGGUAUUCCUGGCAGUUGGCAAAAGCUAACAGAUGGUCAGUCUGUAAUUAUAGAAGUACACCUACAUUAUAGAAGUGCACCUAUAUGACCAGUGAAGUUGAUCAAAUAGACAGGUAAGUCAAAUGACAGGGUAUGUGUGAUGAAGUGACUUCUUAUACAUGUAAUAUAAUAUCUAAACAUUAAUAACAAAAUUUGGUGGCUUUCUAAUUACUGUUCUUAUCUUUUAAAAUGUCUCUUAAUUUAAGUACUUAAUUUCCCUGGACUCUUUCGGCAGUCUACUGUGGUCAAGCGACGGAUUUCGAACCCUAAUAAAGUGCCAAAUCUUCAUCACCCACUGAAGAGCUACACUACAUGCAAGCUAGGCUUAGCAUACAGUCCUACUAUGCAUGAGUCCAGAGUGCCGUCCAGGGCCUAGUCAAGAUCCUGUUACCAGUGGCCAACCAGUAAAAUGUGAGGAGGAUUUUCUGGCUGCCGUGUCAAGUGACUUUACCUGUGUGUUUCAAGGGCAACCAUAUUUCAGCAUGGUCUGAAGCAACUCCAGAAAGGCAGCUGAAAACAACUUUCCAUGGUGAGGCUGGCAUUGAUUAUAGUGCACUCAGACGAUUGCAGGAAUAGAACAUCUCUUUGAGGAUGACAGAAAAGGAAAGUCUCCCAAAUACUCACAGAAUGAUUUGGACAGCAGCAAUUUCAAGGCAGUGUUCCUGUGCGCUCCUAGGCGCGAGACUCUGAUGUUGUGGGGUGUUGGUGAAAGCUCCUCACGGUUCUUCAGGAAAAUCCUCUGUACAUGGCUGUUCCUCCCUGGAAAAGAGAUUAAGGUAUGUGCAAAACCAUUAUAUUUUGUAUUUAAUCGAAUACAUUUAAAAAUGCACAUUUAGGUAUUGCAUAGUUUUUAUUUAGCAAUUUCCUUCAAUUAACAUUUUAUUUUAGUACUUUCUUUUGCCUGGUCCAAAGACAAGCAACAAAGAAGUCUGGGAAACAGGUUUGUUCCGUUAUUGUAAAACGUCACAAGAGCAGUGGUUUGAAUGCUGUAGUCUUUGUUAAUGCCCUCCACCUACAGUACUGGAACAUAAAUGUCAUCAAUAGCAAGUAUUAUUCUAAAAUCUAGCAUGUUACUCUAGUGAGUUUAGAAUAAUGCUUGUUAUUGAUGACCCAUUUAUGUUUAAGUACUGAAGGUGGGUGUUCACUGUUAAAUGGAGGACCAUUUAAUGAAAACACUUGUGUACUUUAAAGAAGAAUUCUGGUGUGAAAUUGGGGUAUAGUGAAACAUGACAGAGUAAAACCUUUUUGUCGAGUAACCCACCUCCAGCAUUGUGAAAUACAGCACCUUUAGCCAAUGCUAACUUAAUGUUAGCUUAGUGUUAAUAAUUAGGGCAUAGAAUUGACCAUGCAAAGAAAUCACUAUUUUUAAACCAUUAAGAAGCUCAAAGUAGCUUCCCUUCCCUGGUAGAAUUCCAAGUGCCUCGUUUCAAAUGUGUUAGCUUUGAGCUUCUUAAUGGUGUAAAACAGUAAUAUUGGAAGCCUUUUGGGAGCAUCGGCUAAAAGUGCUGGAAGACAUUACCACCCACUGCGUUGUCCACUGUGGGUGGUAAUGAUGGUAAACAGUGGUGGCUGAAAAGAACUGUGUUAUAAGCGGCUCUGGUAGAAAUUACAUCUAUAUUUAAUAGCAGAGAUAGUACCCCACACAGGAUACUAGUCUCAUGACAUUUGUCAUGUCUGUGCUGAGAAUUUCCCCACCCACAACAAUCCAAUUUUGGUUAUUUUAAAUACUAUAUUCUGUAUGUAAAUAUUCAACAUUAAGUUUACUGGGUAAGAACACAAUGUUUUCCAUUUCAAAUUCAGCCUGAAACCGUUUAGUCCAGCAGCUCAUACCUGUGUGAACUGAAGAGCCUG